AUACGGAGGAUCCGAGCGUUAUCCGGAUUUAUUGGGUUUAAAGGGUGCGUAGGUGGAUUGGUCAGUCAGUGGUGAAAGUUUGCAGCUUGACUGUAAAAUUGCCGUUGAAACUGCCGGUCUUGAGUGCAAAUGAGGUAAGCGGAAUGUGUUGUGUAGCGGUGAAAUGCUUAGAUAUGACACAGAACACCGAUUGCGAAGGCAGCUUACUGGGAUGCAACUGACACUGAGGCACGAAGGCGUGGGGAUCAAACAGGAUUAGAUACCCUGGUAGUCCACGCAGUAAACGAUGAAUACUAGUUGUCUGCGAUAUAUUGUAGGUGACACAGCGAAAGCGUUAAGUAUUCCACCUGGGGAGUACGUUCGCAAGAAUGAAACUCAAAGGAAUUGACGGGG
This 393-nucleotide ribosomal RNA is filed under the name uncultured bacterium. Its description in RNAcentral is "partial 16S ribosomal RNA". It matches the Rfam family "Bacterial small subunit ribosomal RNA", at positions 523 to 918 of the family's 1533-position model. The record is from RNAcentral.